UUUAACUGAAGAGUUUGAUCAUGGCUCAGAUUGAACGCUGGCGGCAGGCUUAACACAUGCAAGUCGAGCGGGGGAAAGUAGCUUGCUACCGGACCUAGCGGCGGACGGGUGAGUAAUGCUUAGGAAUCUGCCUAUUAGUGGGGGACAACAUCUCGAAAGGGAUGCUAAUACCGCAUACGUCCUACGGGAGAAAGCAGGGG
RNAcentral lists this ribosomal RNA (200 nucleotides) under Acinetobacter baumannii. RNAcentral describes it as "partial 16S ribosomal RNA". It matches the Rfam family "Bacterial small subunit ribosomal RNA", at positions 1 to 209 of the family's 1533-position model. Lineage: Bacteria; Pseudomonadati; Pseudomonadota; Gammaproteobacteria; Moraxellales; Moraxellaceae. The record is from RNAcentral.